GACGAACGCUGGCGGCAUGCUUAACACAUGCAGGUCGAACGGAACGGCCCGGCUUGCUGGGUCACCGAGUCGCGAACCGGGGGAAAAUACGUGUGGGUUCUGCCUAACACUUCGAGAUAGGCCUUAAUAACUGGGACUGAUACCGGACAAGAGCCAUUUCGACUUUGGUGGGGGGAAAGUUGUUUUGGUGUGGGGUGAGCUUGCGGCCUCGCAGCUUGUUGGUGGGGUAAUGGUUUACCAAGGCGGAGACGCGGAGCCGGCCUGGGAGGGUGGACGGGCACAGUGGGACUGGGACAGGGCCAAGACUCAGACGGGAGGGAGCAGUGGGGAAGAUUGCAAAAUGGGAGCAAGCCUGAUGCUGCGACGCCGCGUGGGGGAUGACGGUCUUCGGGUUGGAAUCGCAUUUCGCUAGGGACGAAGCUUUUUGUGACGGUACCUGGAGAAGAAGCACCGGCUAACUACGUG
This 465-nucleotide ribosomal RNA is filed under the name uncultured bacterium. RNAcentral describes it as "partial 16S ribosomal RNA". It matches the Rfam family "Bacterial small subunit ribosomal RNA", at positions 28 to 507 of the family's 1533-position model. The record is from RNAcentral.